UUGGAGAGUUUUCUUUACCGUUCCAAAACAGAUGCCCCCCGAAGGAAGGCAGCAGCUGUCUCACUGACUGAAAAACAAACAAGUGAAACUGUUCGAGGAUGCAAAGAUCGUACAGGAAGGACCCCCCGCCCCCAAAGACGCGCAUAAGACCUACCUCACAGGCGGAUUCUUAACCACUGUGCCACAAGGGAAGAACCUGAACGGUGUCCUUAAAGGAGAGGAGAGAACACAGAGACACACUGAGAAGAAGGCCACGUGGAGAUGGAGGCAGAGAUUGGAGUGAGGCAUCUACAAGACAACACGAAGGAUGGCUGGUCCAGAAGCUAUGCGGAGGCAGGGAAGUAUCCUCCCCAAAAGCUUUGGAAGAGAGUACGUUGACUUUGGACUUCUAGCCUCCAGAACUGUGAGAAAAUAAAUUUCUGUUGUUUUAAAUUA
Lagenorhynchus albirostris (white-beaked dolphin) is the source of this 435-nucleotide long non-coding RNA. RefSeq lists it as uncharacterized. The record is from RefSeq and is a predicted model, not a curated record. The transcript is spliced from 2 exons. NCBI's taxonomy places the organism in Eukaryota, Metazoa, Chordata, Mammalia, Artiodactyla, Delphinidae.